Molecule: ribosomal RNA, 464 nt
Filed under: uncultured Klebsiella sp.
Lineage: Bacteria; Pseudomonadati; Pseudomonadota; Gammaproteobacteria; Enterobacterales; Enterobacteriaceae
Description: bacterial SSU rRNA
Rfam family: Bacterial small subunit ribosomal RNA
Source: RNAcentral
CCUACGGGAGGCAGCAGUGGGGAAUAUUGCACAAUGGGCGCAAGCCUGAUGCAGCCAUGCCGCGUGUGUGAAGAAGGCCUUCGGGUUGUAAAGCACUUUCAGCGGGGAGGAAGGCGUUAAGGUUAAUAACCUUGUCGAUUGACGUUACCCGCAGAAGAAGCACCGGCUAACUCCGUGCCAGCAGCCGCGGUAAUACGGAGGGUGCAAGCGUUAAUCGGAAUUACUGGGCGUAAAGCGCACGCAGGCGGUCUGUCAAGUCGGAUGUGAAAUCCCCGGGCUCAACCUGGGAACUGCAUUCGAAACUGGCAGGCUAGAGUCUUGUAGAGGGGGGUAGAAUUCCAGGUGUAGCGGUGAAAUGCGUAGAGAUCUGGAGGAAUACCGGUGGCGAAGGCGGCCCCCUGGACAAAGACUGACGCGCAGGUGCGAAAGCGUGGGGAGCAAACAGGAUUAGAUACCGAGUAGUC